This is a small nuclear RNA of Cynocephalus volans (Philippine flying lemur), 107 nucleotides long. Lineage: Eukaryota; Metazoa; Chordata; Mammalia; Dermoptera; Cynocephalidae. The record is from RefSeq and is a predicted model, not a curated record.
GUGCUCACUUCGGCAGUACAUACAUUAAAACUGGAAUGACGCAGAGAAGGUUAGCAUGGCCUCUACACAAGGAUGACAGGCAAAUCUGUGAAGCGUUCCAUAUUUUU